GGGGUCGACUGGUUUUGACAGCGAGAUUAAUUAAAUGGUAAGCACGUCGUGUAAUGGCAUUGAAACACGUAAAAGGCUAGACCAAAUUUUAAACGGCGAGAAUAACUACGCUUUAGCUGCAUAAUCUGAAUUAUAGUAAGAUUAAGCCUCGGCUCACUAGGUGGGCAAGCUUUAUGUCUCCGGAAAGCCUUGGUUAAUGGCGUUCUAUUUAGAGGCAUCGUAAAUAUUAACUAAGAUUAGGUAGUGCUUUAAUGCCUUUUCGAGAUUUAGAAGAUAAGUUGUAAGUAGAAUGUUUUUAAUCGGCUUACAAUCGAAAACUAAGAAAAAACUAAACGUGUAGAAAGCUCUUUGGUUACUUGUUUGGACGAGAGUUCGAUUCUCUCCGACUCCACAA
This 394-nucleotide transfer-messenger RNA is filed under the name Flavobacteriaceae. RNAcentral describes it as "Winogradskyella sp002163855 Standard tmRNA". It matches the Rfam family "transfer-messenger RNA". From Rfam's summary of the family: Bacterial tmRNA, also known as 10Sa RNA or SsrA, is named for its dual tRNA and mRNA-like properties. Lineage: Bacteria; Pseudomonadati; Bacteroidota; Flavobacteriia; Flavobacteriales. The record is from RNAcentral. RNAcentral also lists the same sequence under 1 other name.